This is a non-coding RNA of Callorhinus ursinus (northern fur seal), 4806 nucleotides long. Lineage: Eukaryota; Metazoa; Chordata; Mammalia; Carnivora; Otariidae. The record is from RefSeq and is a predicted model, not a curated record.
GCCACCAGUGGGUCUCUGGAGGGGCCGCCACGCCUCAGCUGCUGUCCCUGCCCGCCGGCCCUGAGCUCCCAGGGCUCCCCGCUCUCACUGCCCCCUCUCCCUCUGCCCUCCCCACGCCCCCAGGGCCUGUGCACCUGCUCUUCCCUCUGGGGGAACACCCUGCCCUGAUCUCUGCGCCAGGCAGCCCACAAGCCUUUGCUCACAUGCCACCCCUUCGUGGAGCCCUCCUCACCCUCCCUUCUGAAGCUGCUGCCCCUUGGGCCUCCUCGCUGUGCUGGUCUGUCCAUCCCACCAACGCGUGAGCUCCAGGACCACCGCCUGGCCCGCCGCACUCAGAACACAGCCCGCACACGCCGGUGCCCAGGAAACAGUUGUUCGAUGAAUGAAUGAACUCCCUCUUAGGAAUUUGUUAGCAGCUGCUAGCCCCGCGCUGCCCCACAGGACUUCCCACAGGACCUGGGCGGCCAAUAUGGUGGCCACCGUGCCCUUGAAAUGUGGCUGGCGUGGCCUAGGAGCCGGUGUCUUUAUUAGACGUUAAUUAAUUUGGAAUUGAUUUAUGAAGCUGCGUGUGUCUAGUGUACCCACAGGACAGGAUGGCUAGAAAGGUCGGAUCUGGCUCAGUGGCUUCAAGCUUUAGUCACGUGAGGACAGCUCGUGGCUUCGUGGGGGAGUUCAGGACCCCUUCAGAUCCCUGCCCCUUUCUGGGUUAAACUGGCCGCGGAGGGAGGGAAGGGUGCCGUGUGGCAGGGCAGCGCGUGGCCCCGAGCCAGGACAGAGUGCACAGGAAGUGAACAGGUGAGCCAGCCCCGGGGGUUCUGGGCAUCAGCGCAUGGGUAACUUCUGUGUGGGGCAGGAAUGAGGCACGUGGAGGUGAUGGUGCCACAGCUCCAGAGCCUGGCUCAAGUCGCAUCACAGACCCCAUGUUCCCGCCCCCCCGCGGCUACAGGUGGCCGUGCCAGACCGUUCUGCCCAGUGAGAUGAAAGCAGACGUCUCAGUGUGGGGCUUUCAGGAAAGCUACGAUUAUGGACACGAGGUCCGGAGGGGUGGCAGCCGUCUUGUGGCCAUGAGGCAACACAAGGUCUGUACCCUAAGGACCGCCGAUGGAAAGUUAGGGCCUACCAGCCGCACGCUUUGUGAGAGGCCUGGAUCCCCAUCUGGUCCAGCCUCCCUUAGUGGGUUUUCCAUAACGGAGUUCUGAACAGAGGAAGCUAGACUAGGAAGUGGUGCUGGGACCUGCAGUGGCGGUUAACUGCGUUCUUGUUACCAAGGCACCGAGCGGUCACGAGACGGGCCCAAGGUCACACCGUGGCUUCAUGGGGGGAGGGGCAGGGAGCCAGAACUAUUGUGGGACCCCCCAAAGCUGCCUCUUCACCCAGAGUGGGGGAGCAGAGUCACAGGGCCUGAAUGUGGCUGUCACACCCAGAAUGUGCAUCUCCACCACUAAUCAUCUCAAUCAGCUUGGUUAAUUGGCACCCAAACAGAAACAGCAAACAUGAAGGGGAGGACCAGGUGUCAGUCUGCGGGCAGCUGCUGAGGGAGGAAGCUCAGGGGCAGGGGACACCCUGGGCCCCCCCAGAGCAGAGCUCCUCAGACGUCGGAGCCAGGGUCUGAAGGAUUUGCAGGUGACACAGCAGGGGCUUUCUGGGACAAAAAUAAUCCCUUGCUCGGGGAUGCAUCGUGGUGUGCGCAGAUGCCUUCAGCGUCCAAACUCAGGCUGGGUGGAGUGCGUCUCCAUGUGCCCUGACGAGUUCAGGUAGGAAAGACUUUCUGAGCAUGGCCCUCAGCUCCUGGUGACACUGUUUCAUCAGUAGCUGCCUUGACUGAGAGUGUGCCAUAAGCCCUCCGAAGGACAUGUCCUUCCCCACUUCCUUCCCCCAUCCAUUCGUUCACCCAUCCAUUUACCAUCCUCCCAUCGGCCCACCUAUCCAUCCAUCCAUCCGUCCAUCCGUCCACCUGUCCGUCCGUCCACCCACCCAUCCAUCUGCAUAGUCCAAACAACCAGCCUGACUAUCCAGGCACGGUGCAGAGCUGUACUAUGAAGAUGAGGCUGUCAAGUGGAGAGGUGAGUAAGCUCAGCCUCCUGGCCCAAGCCUCCAGACCAAAGCUGCCAGGGACCAGGCAUCCAGCCCCACAGGCAUCUCACCUGGUGCAAAUCCAUCAGGUGCCAAGCCACCAUCUUCCUUUUAGCAGUGCGAAAUUUCCCCCUCCAACAAACAACCACAGCUUCAUAUUCACUCAGGAGAAAACUGUGUGUAUGACUUUUACAGACUUUGCAUCUGAACCUAAUUUAAAAGAUUUACAAUCUGCUUGAUGCCCCUCCAGCCUGGGCCCGGAGCAGCCACGGGCUGAUGUCUCCCCCUUGUCACCCGGACCCCUUGCUCUGCAGGAGCAAUCCAGCUCCAGGGGCAGAAUGGACUGGGUUUAGUUUUGGAAAGGCAAGUCCCAUCUCCCGGAGCCCAGCUGGGCUCAAUUCAUACAUUUUUGACAAGAAAACGUCUCUCUGGGACGCUCUGUGUACACACACAUAUGCGUGCUCUGUUCCCGGUGCCAGACCCCAGAAACUUCCGAGCUGGGCUUUCAUUCCAAGCUCCUGCCAUUUGUUUCCCUUAACGUGUUGAACACCCUAAACAAACAGAAAGAAAGAAAUGGUUUCCUUGCUUCUAAACGAGUGGAUCUCAAAGUGUGAUCCCUGGACCAGCAGCAGCCUCACCUGGAGCACUCUGGUCGGCUGCUUUGAGACCUGGUGAAUCAGAAAGUCUGGGUGGGCUCAGGCCGGCGGUCUGUAGUUUGACAAGGCCUCCUGGGGAUUCUGAUGUCUGCGGAGCGUGGGGGCAGCUGUGCUAAUUGCGUCUCUCCCCUUCAUCCACCCUCGGAGCACCGUGGGCGUUGGGCACGAUCCUCUUGGGACACUACUUGAGGGUGGGGCUGCAUGUUCUUGCACAGUCUGUCCUCAAGCAGGGGUGAGGCUGUGCCUCCUGGGUCAUGCCCCCCCACCCCGGUCCAAGCCCCCUGUUAGCUGGAUGAAGUGACAAAGAAGGUAUCCAGUCAAUACCAGGGAUGCGGAGAUCUUCCCUGUCUCCCCCGAACACACAGAAACGGUAAGCACAUUAUCUAAAAGUUAAAAGCGUGUGUGGUUCCCCGCCACUCGGAAGGAGCGGGGGUGCGCUGGUGUGCGUGGGGAUGGAGCUCCGGGGUGCAGGCACCUGAGCCUCACGGACGGCUGGGGACUGAGUGCAGGGCCCCUGCAUGAGGCCUGGGGCUGGGCUGGCCGCCCCGACCGCGAACAGGGUGCAGCCAGACACAGUGGGACAGGAGGAAGCAGAGAUGCACGGCACCUGGAACCAGGCGACUCGUGUGACAGCCGGGGGGUCUCAGGGUGAAAGCUAAGCCACUCAGUUUCGAGCCAGGGUCUGGGGGGCCGGCACGUGGUAAUCUAAGGCUUCCAGCCAAGGACGGGUAAGCGUGAAGACAGGAUGCCCGUACAGAUGUACUGAAGACAUGAGGAAAACCCAACCCCAGACGCGUCAGCCACCAACCCAAGACGGGGUUUGGGAAGGAGAGGGAAAGGCAGAGAGGGACGUGCGCAGACCGUGAGGCCGCCCAGCGAGGAGGGAAGGAGCGAGAACCGCUCACAAGAAAGGGGAGAGGGUGAAUCAAAGCACGAAGGUCUAAGAGCAGCCACAGAUGAAAAAUACAAACAGAACAUGCCGUAAAUAUGAAACAUGCGCUCAUUGGAACUAAGAACCAAAGCUAAAGAAGGCUCGGGCAGCCUCUGGACACGGCUGAGGAGAGCCCCCAUUCCCUGGGACGUGGGGCUGAGAAGAUCAGCCAGAGCGCGGGGCUGAACGGGGCCAGGACGGGGCGCGGGAGGCCUGGGCGCGGGGACGUCCCACCAGCUCUGCGGCUGGAUGCCCAGGCCAUGAGGCCACGGGCCAAGAACCCGGCGUUCUCUGCAUUUGUGGAAAGACAUCAGCCUCGGUCGACACCGUCUACCAGGAUCUGAGGAGAAGACAGGAGGAAGGCACCGAUGCGAGGGGUUGGGGGCCCAGACGGUCCCCCCCCGCGGCCACUGCUGGUGGCGUGCUGACCCCGGCAAGUGACAUACAGACGGAGCAGGAGUUGCUUGAAUGUUUCCAAAGUCCACGUGAAAAGGGGAAACACAAGACAGCAGCUAAGAAAACCCUACGGUAACGACAGGGAAGGACGCGCUCGCCGACACCACCCGUCCUAUGACACGGGAGCGAGGGGACAGCUGUGUGCGCCCCCGUGGCACUCGGGUCGUGAGCAGGUGGCAACUCCCAUAAGCGGGGAAGGAUGGGGUAUUUGAUGAGUGGAGUGAGAAGCCUGGGCCUGCUAUUUUGGAACAACAGAAGGAAAGGUCACAACCUUCCCUGGAUAAAACAUCUGUCCCGCGCGGACUCAAGCCUUUACUGUGGAAAAGGGACUGCAGGUGUCAGAAGGAGCUACGGUCGAGCAGCUGCUCAGACGGGCCUCGCUGAGCGUGACGGCAAAGGCGCUGAGGACCGGGGACACGCGAGCGGACACGGGAAGCCUCUGUGACAGGCCAGCAGCUUAAGUGACAAACAGGAUGGCACCUGCAUCACACCCCACGGGGCCGGUGUCCCUAAAAUCCACCGGAAAACAAGGAACGCCAUCAGAAAAAACUGGCAAAGGAAGAAACAUACAGUUAACACACGUAUGAAAAACGUCCAUGCUCAUUAGCAGGUGAAAAAACGUAAACUAAGCCAACAGUCCUUUGUGUCUGCCACAUUUGCAAAAAAAGUAAAAACAUUUAUUUAAUUAGA